UGCAGUUAACAGGCUGCUGCUUUGUCUCUUGGCUGAUGCCGUUGGGCCGAGGGCAAUGAUUGAGAAGCAGUUUGACCAAUGGCGUGCGUGAAGGCGGGACUUAACAAGAAAGGUCAAAACAGUGCAGAAACGCACACCAAAAAAUGGCUACCAUAGAAAGCAAAAGGGGAAAUUUCCUGCGACAUUGUGAGUGCACCCUUGGGCUUGUCAGUGGGUGAGGUCACAUCACUAAACUGUCUGAAGAAGUAAGGUGUCGUGGACCAUCAUAAAAUUUGCAUCAACAUGGAGAUUGAAUUGGAGACCAUUGUUCUGUUCGAAGUGUAGUUUGUGGAAGAUGCAAUGAUGAAAUUAAUUUGAAUUGUCAAUGUUGUAUUUUAAGCAUAUAAGCAAUGUUUAGAUGAUGGUACUGUAGCACUGUUUAAAGUUUGUAAUAUUAUUGUUAUUUACAACUGUAACAGAAGAAAAUAAAGAGGGACAAAUACAAAUGA
This is a long non-coding RNA of Tachysurus fulvidraco (yellow catfish), 488 nucleotides long. RefSeq lists it as uncharacterized. The transcript is spliced from 3 exons. The record is from RefSeq and is a predicted model, not a curated record. NCBI's taxonomy places the organism in Eukaryota, Metazoa, Chordata, Actinopteri, Siluriformes, Bagridae.